RNAcentral lists this long non-coding RNA (545 nucleotides) under Helianthus annuus (common sunflower). Its description in RNAcentral is "hypothetical non coding rna". The record is from RNAcentral. Lineage: Eukaryota; Viridiplantae; Streptophyta; Magnoliopsida; Asterales; Asteraceae.
UUUCUUUCUUCUUCUCUCUAUACGUUGGUGUUCUAACCAAUAAUCACCGAUGCGAUGUUCUGUCCGAUCAAUUCAGGAACCAACUAACGGAUGCCAAAAGUGCUAUACUUUGAGAGUUCGUUAAACGGAUGCCAAAGUACUAUACUUUGAGAGUUCGUUAAACGGAUGCCAAAGUGCUAUACUUUGUGAUUUCGGUAAAAGGAAUCCAAAGUGUUACACUUUGUGAAAUUUGUUAAGGUUCGAAUCUCGUGACUACCGUUAAGGUUUGAUUUGGGUUUUACACAAAUACGUAUUCCAUUCUGUUAAACUAUAUGUUUAACUACCAAAAAUACUCCCAACUACACACUCACAAUCAAACAAACUAUUAAAUCAUCAGAAGAUCCAGAAUAAUAAAGUGCAUGCUUAAUUAUCGGAAGAAGUAGAAUCAAGAAGCUUGUUAACUCAAUCUUGCAUGCUUAUAAAGUAAUUACAGUAAAUUGGAGUAAGGAUUGGAUCCAGCACUGAAGGACUUCAAGAAGUGGCUUAUUUUAUUAAUAAAAUCAACU